AGGUGCGAUCAUACCAGCACUAAUGCACCGGAUGCCACCAGAACUCUGCAGUUAAGCGUGCUUGGGCGAGAAUAGUACUAGGAUGGGUGACCUCUUGGGAAGUCCUCGUGUUGAACCUC
RNAcentral lists this ribosomal RNA (119 nucleotides) under Vigna angularis (adzuki bean). Lineage: Eukaryota; Viridiplantae; Streptophyta; Magnoliopsida; Fabales; Fabaceae. RNAcentral also lists the same sequence under 1 other name. The record is from RNAcentral.